UCAAACAUUUCCGCAAUGAGCGGGAGUUCUAAAUUUAAUAAUUGAAAUUGUCAGUGGAACCAGUGGACAAGAGUUGGUUUGUGGUUGACAAACUUAUCCGUUUGAUCUUUACUUGAACAGUUCCAGUGUGUGGAUGGGUACUGAUGAAGUGUGCGCAUUUAUUUUGAGAAGCCUGCUUGUUCGCAUAGAUUUUAACGACAUGAACAUUGUGGUAAGGUUAGAGAGUAAUGCGAAUGUAGGAGCUUAUAUUAGAAAUGACACAAACACGUAAAUAGAAGUAAUCUAUAUAUGAUAUUACUCAUGGACUACAAGCAAAGAAGUACAAUACAUGGAGUAAGUGAUGAAAUGAGCAUUCCUCACUACUACUGCUUGACUGAUGGAACAUGAUGCACGAGAUAGCAUAAGUAGUAGUAGGAAGCAGCUCUUAUUUGUGGCGUCGGUAUACAUCAUACUAGGUAGAUGGUUCAAUUGGCAUGGAUGGGUGGUGGAGCCUUGAAGUGCUUGUGAUGGGGAGCCCACGGCUUCUUCUCAGGAGUUGGUGGCUUCUUGUAUGGAGUUGAUGGAGGUGUUUCUACUGGAGGGUGGCCAGGGUAGUGACCCUGGGGUGGUGAAGGUUCUUUUGUCGGUGGUGGCCUCACUAUUAUUGGCGGUAGAGUUGGUGGCUUGGGCGUUGGCGGUGGUCUCACUACUCUUGGGGGUAGAGUUGGUGUCUUGUGUUUUGGUGGUGGAGGUGGCUUAACAGGAGUUGGUGGCUUGUAUUCUGGGGGUGGUUUCUCCACCGGAGGUGGCUUAUAAACUGGAGUUGGUGGCUUGUAUUCUGGGGGUGGCUUCUCCACUGGUGGUGGCCUGUAAACAGGGGUUGGUGGCUUAUAUUCUGGGGGAGGCUUCUCCACUGGAGGCGACUUAUAAACAGGGGUUGGUGGCUUGUAUUCCGGGGGUGGCUUCUCUACGGGAGGUGGCCUGUAAACAGGGGUUGGUGGCUUCUCCACCGGAGGUGGCUUAUAAACGGGGGUUGGUGGCUUGUAUUCUGGGGGUGGUUUCCCCAGUGGUGGAGACUUGUAAACAGGAAGAGGUGGUUUGUGCUCAUAUGGGGGUGGCUUGUGGUCAUUAGCAAGUGAGGGAGUGGUGAGGACCACCAAUCCAAGGAACAACACGAGUGAGCAAGCAGAAGACAU
This 1175-nucleotide long non-coding RNA is filed under the name Vitis vinifera (wine grape). RNAcentral describes it as "long non-coding RNA (VVIN_LNC001392)". Lineage: Eukaryota; Viridiplantae; Streptophyta; Magnoliopsida; Vitales; Vitaceae. The record is from RNAcentral.